GAAAACAUAGGAAAAAAAUAUUUGUGACCUUAGGUUAGGCAAAGAUUUCUUAGACGCAACACCAAAAGAAUGAUCCGUAAAAGAAAAAAAGGAUAAAUUGGACUUUAUAAAAAUGAAGAACUUCUGCUCUUCAGAAAGACAGUUUAAGAGAAUGAGAAGUUGAGACUCAUUUAUCAAAUGAGUCUUUUUUUUUUUUUUGGUGGGAGACCAGAGUUUUAAUCAUUACUCAAAUCAGUCUCUAUGAACAUUCGGGGAGCAGAGUUUUAAAGGAUAACUUGGUGGGUCACCUGUAACUACCUUUACCUCCAGCCUCCGUUCCUGAGAACGACAGGAACCCCGUCUUUAUCAAGGAGCCCGCUGGUCACCUGAAAGCUGCCGGUACCCUGUGGAUUGGGAAAGGGUGAACUAGGACAGGCUUGGGAGUCAGGCACCGGAGUCUGGGAUCUGCGCUGCCAU
RNAcentral lists this long non-coding RNA (456 nucleotides) under Homo sapiens (human). RNAcentral's name for it is "non-protein coding lnc-MUL1-1:1". The record is from RNAcentral. Lineage: Eukaryota; Metazoa; Chordata; Mammalia; Primates; Hominidae.